GGUUGACUUCAUUUUCAUUAGAAUAUUUUUAUUUUUAAUUUUAUUGGGGAGUUUAUAUUUAAGGUAUUGGCUAUAAACUAAAUGAGUCAAAAACAGAGAUAAACUAAGAACUAGUAUGACCUCAAAAUAACAGGGUCGAGUGAGACCAAGUCCUAGGUGUGUCUGUACGACGGGGUAUAAGAGCAUAAAACAUGAAACUGCAUUACACAGCAAGAGACAAAAAAUAAAUAAAAAAUAGUUGAACUUCAAUUGUUAAGGGCCGCGCGAACGCAGGCCCCAACUAUCACAAAUUAUGAUGUAGGCUCCACCACUUGGGUAGACCUUAGGAUAGCACCCCUCCAAAGUGCAAUGAAAGUCACUAACCUAGGCCAUGGGCCAUCUUGAUCACCCAUUGACCCCAUCCAGGUAAGUACGUUAAAAUGUAUGAUGCAUGUCAUAUUUAUACGGCCAAUGGCGUAGUAUAAAUUUGAUGGUUAGGCAAUGUGGGAAUUAUACAUAAUCGAGAUGUAAUGCAAAGCAAUGAUGCAUCAUUCAAAAUGAAGGCCAAUGAUCAAUCGCUGGUCAGUGGUCACUACUAAAUCUAUGACAUCCUCGCUUUACACAUUUUAAUUACGAUUGAAUGUAAUAUAAUUUAAAAUUUUGGUCUUAAAUGACAUGACACGAGUGAGAUCUAUCGAACCAGUAUUACAUUGACACAUCAUUUGAAAUUUUCUGAAAUGAAAAAUUUGAGACCCCUAACAUCAAUAAUUACUCCCUUCAUCCCUUAUUAUUUAUUUUUAUACAAGUGGACACAUUAUGAAACACAAGUAAUACUAUGUUUAUUAGUAAUAAGUAAAUUUAAAUUUCAAUAUUGACACUAAAAAGGAGGGUUAUUUAUUGAAUAAAAAAUAAUGAAAACAAAAAUAUCAUUGUUGUAAAAUUGCGCAAGUAAAAUUUGGGUACCAAAAAUAAAUCCGAACAACUAUUUAUUAUUAGAAAUAUAAAAUGCCAGACUAGCUACUACAGUUUCCAUAUAAAAAAAAGAUGAUACUAGAAUUUUAGGGGCCAAACCCUAUUGGGUAAGCACCUCCAAAAAUAGGCGUAUGCCACUAUCUAAUCGAAUUUUCUUUAAAAUAAAGUGUCAACAUUUCAAAUAACGAUUUCAACCUUCUCAUUAAAAACGAGGUAUUAUACACAUUCUGCUUGGUGUACUAUUAUUCUCCAUAAAAAUGCUCUUCUCAUGUUUAAAUUUAGAUGAUAUACACACAAUGAAUAGAUGAUUAAGAGUAUCAAAACAAUGUACUAAUCAAUUUUAAGAAGCCAAAUAUGUCAUUGAUUAUAUAUGAUGUGCAUCUCAAACAUAUGAUAAGUCAAAACCCUAGAUUGGUCAUCAAAGAGUCGAUAUUCUCCGAUAUCCGAUAUGUGAGUCCCGCUUUUCAAGGUGCAUUGGUUGCCUUCUUUUUCGCGAUGCAAUGGCUUUCGAGUUCUCUUUGACAUGGAAAGGUCGUAGCAAAAUUUUCCUCCAUUAAAUUCACUUGCCAUUUUCUUGAGCAAAAAAUGAAAGGAAUGGUAUUUUGUAGAAAUAGGAAAAGUGGGUAGAAUAAGAAGUAAUGUGGAUUAGCCCAAAUAGAAUGGUUAAGGUUUGUUUGCUUAAUGGCAAAUUUAAGAGGGUAGUUGAUGCUAAGGGGUAGUUGAUUAAACAACCCUUCCUAAUAAAGUAGAAAUUGGUGUAAAAUACUCCUUGGUCAAAAUAUGAGAUACAUGUCAUGUUUUAAACUUUUUUUCCAAAAUUUUACCUUAACAAGGAUUUUACAUACGAAACUUCAAACAGAACAAAAUAUCUACCAUAUGUCUUUUUCAUUCUGUCGAAAAUCGAUUUUACGGUAUAGACGCUUAUGACCUCCCCCUCUAUGCCCUGCGGUAAUGAUUCCUCUGGCAUUCCCCCUCUAUGCCCUGCGGUAAUGAUUCCUCUGGCAUUCAAGAGUUUGUAUCAUUUGAUGAUGCCAUGUGAAUCGCUAGAAACAUGUGAAGUGUAUGGCUAACCCAAUAACAAAAGUUUCGUAAAGGGACUUCUGUCUAUCAAUAACUGCAUGCAUUGCACGGUGGAUGUAAAGAAGUAGGCCAUUAUCUUGGCAAUAAUGAACCAAGAUAGUAUUAAAAAUAAUAAUAUUGAAGUAAAAUUGUUAGGAGGCCGCGCGAACGCAGGCCCCCACUAUCACAAAUUAUGAUGUAGGCUCCACCACUUGGGUAGACCUUAGAAUAGCACCCCUCCAAAGUGCAAUGAAGGUCACUACCCUAGGCCAUGGGCCAUCUUGAUCACCCAUUGACCCCAUCCAGG
RNAcentral lists this long non-coding RNA (2317 nucleotides) under Panax ginseng (ginseng). RNAcentral describes it as "long non-coding RNA (PGIN_LNC005046)". The record is from RNAcentral. Lineage: Eukaryota; Viridiplantae; Streptophyta; Magnoliopsida; Apiales; Araliaceae.